CCUUCAUGAAGCUGGAAUUGCUGUAAUGGCAGGUCAGCAUACUGCCGUGAAUACGUUCCCGGGCCUUGUACACACCGCCCGUCACACCAUGAGAGUUGGAAAUACCCGAAGCCUGUGAGCUAACUUAAAGAGGCAGCAGUCGAAGGUAGAGCCAAUGAUUGGGGUGAAGUCGUAACAAGGUAAC
This 184-nucleotide ribosomal RNA is filed under the name uncultured bacterium. RNAcentral describes it as "partial 16S ribosomal RNA". It matches the Rfam family "Bacterial small subunit ribosomal RNA", at positions 1315 to 1500 of the family's 1533-position model. The record is from RNAcentral.